RNAcentral lists this long non-coding RNA (323 nucleotides) under Parus major (Great Tit). RNAcentral's name for it is "lncRNA (ENSPMJG00000013037.1)". The record is from RNAcentral. Lineage: Eukaryota; Metazoa; Chordata; Aves; Passeriformes; Paridae.
CAGCAUCGCCCGGCCAAGGCGGCGUGCGAAAGCAGGGGCUGCUGGCCACGGUGACCUUCACCAGGACGUCCAAGGUCAAAUAAGUCAUGUGAAAAUGUCAGUGCAUGAAUUACCUGUGAACUAUUUACCCCCUGCAUCCCACCUGGGACCCCCUGAGCUUCCCAAUGCACAUCCGGUCACCUGAAACACCAAGAAAGUUUUUGGGUAGAGCAGGAUAAAUGGCCAGGAAAACACCCAGAAGCGUGAAGAAAAGACCUGUAUCCUCCAGAUCCCUCUCAUCCUAAGGAGUGGAGAUGAUGCAGAUUAAGGAGUUAAAUACCCCC